This 466-nucleotide ribosomal RNA is filed under the name uncultured bacterium. RNAcentral's name for it is "partial 16S ribosomal RNA". It matches the Rfam family "Bacterial small subunit ribosomal RNA", at positions 28 to 507 of the family's 1533-position model. The record is from RNAcentral.
GAUGAACGCUGGCGGCGUGCUUAACACAUGCAAGUCGAACGGAAAGGCUCCUGCUUGCAGGGGUACUCGAGUGGCGAACGGGUGAGUAACACGUGGGUGAUCUGCCCUGCACUUCGGGAUAAGCCUGGGAAACUGGGUCUAAUACCGGAUAGGACGAUGGUUUGGAUGCCAUUGUGGAAAGUUUUUUCGGUGUGGGAUGAGCUCGCGGCCUAUCAGCUUGUCGGUGGGGUAAUGGCCUACCAAGGCGUCGACGGGUAGCCGGCCUGAGAGGGUGUACGGCCACAUUGGGACUGAGAUACGGCCCAGACUCCUACGGGAGGCAGCAGUGGGGAAUAUUGCACAAUGGGCGCAAGCCUGAUGCAGCGACGCCGCGUGGGGGAUGACGGCCUUCGGGUUGUAAACUCCUUUCGCUAGGGACGAAGCGCAAGUGACGGUACCUGGAGAAGAAGCACCGGCUAACUACGUG